CGAAGAUCCACAUCAGUUUCGCGUCACAGAUCACCCUCUCCUAUGCGGCGUAGAUUGCGUUCUCCAGGGCGACGCAGAUCACAAACUCCUGUGCGACGUAGAUCUCCACGCAGGUCACCACCUGGAUGGCGUAGAUCCCGUUCACCUGGACGACGCAGAUCCCGUUCACCUGGACGACGCAGAUCCCGUUCUCCUGGGCGACGCAGAUCCCGUUCUCCUGGGCGACGUAGAUCCCGUUCUCCUGGGCGACGUAGAUCUCCAUCUCCUUUGCGGCGUAGAUCUCUAUCACCUGCAUGGCGUGGAUCCCCCCCUCCUUUGAGGCGCAGAUCACCAACGCCGAAACGACGUAGGUCACCAACUUAUAAGUUAC
Molecule: long non-coding RNA, 370 nt
Filed under: Vitis vinifera (wine grape)
Lineage: Eukaryota; Viridiplantae; Streptophyta; Magnoliopsida; Vitales; Vitaceae
Description: long non-coding RNA (VVIN_LNC001740)
Source: RNAcentral